This 440-nucleotide ribosomal RNA is filed under the name uncultured bacterium. RNAcentral describes it as "partial 16S ribosomal RNA". It matches the Rfam family "Bacterial small subunit ribosomal RNA", at positions 338 to 795 of the family's 1533-position model. The record is from RNAcentral.
CCUACGGGCGGCAGCAGUGGGGAAUAUUGCACAAUGGGGGGAACCCUGAUGCAGCGACGCCGCGUGGGUGAAGGAGUACUUCGGUACGUAAAGCCCUAUCAGCAGGAAAGAAAAUGACGGUACCUGACUAAGAAGCCCCGGCUAACUACGUGCAAGCAGCCGCGGUAAUACGUAGGGGGCAAGCGUUAUCCGGAUUGACUGGGUGGAAAGGGAGCGUAGACGGCAGUGCAAGUCCGGAGUGAAAGCCCGGGGCUCAACCCUGGGACUGCUCUGGAAACUGUAAAGCUGGAGUGCGGGAGGGGCCGUCGGCCUUCCUGGUGUAGCGGUGACAUGCGUAGAUCUCAGGAGGAACACCGGCGGCGCAGGCGGCCUGCUGGACCGUAACUGCCGUUGCGGCUCGACAGCGUGGGGAGCAAACAGGAUUAGAUACCCUAGUAGUC